Molecule: ribosomal RNA, 253 nt
Filed under: uncultured bacterium
Lineage: Bacteria
Description: partial 16S ribosomal RNA
Rfam family: Bacterial small subunit ribosomal RNA
Source: RNAcentral
GCAAGUCGAGCGAAUGGAGGAAGUGCUUGCACUUCCAAAGUUAGCGGCGGACGGGUGAGUAACGCGUGGGCAACCUGCCCUAUACAGAGGGAUAGCCUCGGGAAACCGGGAUUAAUACCUCAUAAUACUCUUUUAUGGCAUCAUAAGAGAGUCAAAGAUUUAUCGGUAUAGGAUGGGCCCGCGUCUGAUUAGCUAGUUGGUAAGGUAAGAGCUUACCAAGGCGACGAUCAGUAGCCGACCUGAGAGGGUGAUC